This 216-nucleotide ribosomal RNA is filed under the name Glomeromycotina sp. RNAcentral describes it as "partial small subunit ribosomal RNA". The stretch from base 40 to 216 matches the Rfam family "Eukaryotic small subunit ribosomal RNA", at positions 686 to 864 of the family's 1831-position model. The record is from RNAcentral. Lineage: Eukaryota; Fungi; Glomeromycota.
GGGUCAGUAGGUUGGUCGUGCCACCGGUACGUACUGGUCUCACUGAUUCCUCCUUCCUGAAGAACCGUAAUGCCAUUAAUUUGGUGUUGCGGGGAAACAGGACUGUUACUUUGAAAAAAUUAGAGUGUUUAAAGAAUGCUAACGCUUGAAUACAUGAGCAUGGAAUAAUGAAAUAGGACGAUCGAUCCUCUUUUGUUGGUUUCUAGGAUUGACGUA